GGGUUGUGAGGUUAAGCGACUAAGCGUACACGGUGGAUGCCCUGGCAGUCAGAGGCGAUGAAGGACGUGCUAAUCUGCGAUAAGCGUCGGUAAGGUGAUAUGAACCGUUAUAACCGGCGAUUUCCGAAUGGGGAAACCCAGUGUGAUUCGUCACACUAUCAUUAACUGAAUCCAUAGGUUAAUGAGGCGAACCGGGGGAACUGAAACAUCUAAGUACCCCGAGGAAAAGAAAUCAACCGAGAUUCCCCAGUAGCGGCGAGCGAACGGGGAGCAGCCCAGAGCCUGAAUCAGUGUGUGUGUUAGUGGAAGCGUCUGGAAAGGCGCGCGAUACAGGGUGACAGCCCCGUACACAAAAAUGCACAUGCUGUGAGCUCGAUGAGUAGGGCGGGACACGUGGUAUCCUGUCUGAAUAUGGGGGACCAUCCUCCAAGGCUAAAUACUCCUGACUGACCGAUAGUGAACCAGUACCGUGAGGGAAAGGCGAAAAGAACCCCGGCGAGGGGAGUGAAAAAGAACCUGAAACCGUGUACGUACAAGCAGUGGGAGCACGCUUAGGCGUGUGACUGCGUACCUUUUGUAUAAUGGGUCAGCGACUUAUAUUCUGUAGCAAGGUUAACCGAAUAGGGGAGCCGAAGGGAAACCGAGUCUUAACUGGGCGUUAAGUUGCAGGGUAUAGACCCGAAACCCGGUGAUCUAGCCAUGGGCAGGUUGAAGGUUGGGUAACACUAACUGGAGGACCGAACCGACUAAUGUUGAAAAAUUAGCGGAUGACUUGUGGCUGGGGGUGAAAGGCCAAUCAAACCGGGAGAUAGCUGGUUCUCCCCGAAAGCUAUUUAGGUAGCGCCUCGUGAAUUCAUCUCCGGGGUAGAGCACUGUUUCGGCAAGGGGGUCAUCCCGACUUACCAAUCCGAUGCAAACUGCGAAUACCGGAGAAUGUUAUCACGGGAGACACACGGCGGGUGCUAACGUCCGUCGUGAAGAGGGAAACAACCCAGACCGCCAGCUAAGGUCCCAAAGUCAUGGUUAAGUGGGAAACGAUGUGGGAAGGCCCAGACAGCCAGGAUGUUGGCUUAGAAGCAGCCAUCAUUUAAAGAAAGCGUAAUAGCUCACUGGUCGAGUCGGCCUGCGCGGAAGAUGUAACGGGGCUAAACCAUGCACCGAAGCUGCGGCAGCGACGCUGAUGCGUUGUUGGGUAGGGGAGCGUUCUGUAAGCCUGUGAAGGUGUGCUGUGAGGCAUGCUGGAGGUAUCAGAAGUGCGAAUGCUGACAUAAGUAACGAUAAAGCGGGUGAAAAGCCCGCUCGCCGGAAGACCAAGGGUUCCUGUCCAACGUUAAUCGGGGCAGGGUGAGUCGACCCCUAAGGCGAGGCCGAAAGGCGUAGUCGAUGGGAAACAGGUUAAUAUUCCUGUACUUGGUGUUACUGCGAAGGGGGACGGAGAAGGCUAUGUUGGCCGGGCGACGGUUGUCCCGGUUUAAGCGUGUAGGCUGGUUUUCCAGGCAAAUCCGGAAAAUCAAGGCUGAGGCGUGAUGACGAGGCACUACGGUGCUGAAGCAACAAAUGCCCUGCUUCCAGGAAAAGCCUCUAAGCAUCAGGUAACAUCAAAUCGUACCCCAAACCGACACAGGUGGUCAGGUAGAGAAUACCAAGGCGCUUGAGAGAACUCGGGUGAAGGAACUAGGCAAAAUGGUGCCGUAACUUCGGGAGAAGGCACGCUGAUAUGUAGGUGAAGCGACUUGCUCGUGGAGCUGAAAUCAGUCGAAGAUACCAGCUGGCUGCAACUGUUUAUUAAAAACACAGCACUGUGCAAACACGAAAGUGGACGUAUACGGUGUGACGCCUGCCCGGUGCCGGAAGGUUAAUUGAUGGGGUUAGCGCAAGCGAAGCUCUUGAUCGAAGCCCCGGUAAACGGCGGCCGUAACUAUAACGGUCCUAAGGUAGCGAAAUUCCUUGUCGGGUAAGUUCCGACCUGCACGAAUGGCGUAAUGAUGGCCAGGCUGUCUCCACCCGAGACUCAGUGAAAUUGAACUCGCUGUGAAGAUGCAGUGUACCCGCGGCAAGACGGAAAGACCCCGUGAACCUUUACUAUAGCUUGACACUGAACAUUGAGCCUUGAUGUGUAGGAUAGGUGGGAGGCUUUGAAGUGUGGACGCCAGUCUGCAUGGAGCCGACCUUGAAAUACCACCCUUUAAUGUUUGAUGUUCUAACGUGGACCCGUAAUCCGGGUUGCGGACAGUGUCUGGUGGGUAGUUUGACUGGGGCGGUCUCCUCCUAAAGAGUAACGGAGGAGCACGAAGGUUGGCUAAUCCUGGUCGGACAUCAGGAGGUUAGUGCAAUGGCAUAAGCCAGCUUGACUGCGAGCGUGACGGCGCGAGCAGGUGCGAAAGCAGGUCAUAGUGAUCCGGUGGUUCUGAAUGGAAGGGCCAUCGCUCAACGGAUAAAAGGUACUCCGGGGAUAACAGGCUGAUACCGCCCAAGAGUUCAUAUCGACGGCGGUGUUUGGCACCUCGAUGUCGGCUCAUCACAUCCUGGGGCUGAAGUAGGUCCCAAGGGUAUGGCUGUUCGCCAUUUAAAGUGGUACGCGAGCUGGGUUUAGAACGUCGUGAGACAGUUCGGUCCCUAUCUGCCGUGGGCGCUGGAGAACUGAGGGGGGCUGCUCCUAGUACGAGAGGACCGGAGUGGACGCAUCACUGGUGUUCGGGUUGUCAUGCCAAUGGCACUGCCCGGUAGCUAAAUGCGGAAGAGAUAAGUGCUGAAAGCAUCUAAGCACGAAACUUGCCCCGAGAUGAGUUCUCCCUGACUCCUUGAGAGUCCUGAAGGAACGUUGAAGACGACGACGUUGAUAGGCCGGGUGUGUAAGCGCAGCGAUGCGUUGAGCUAACCGGUACUAAUGAACCGUGAGGCUUAACCUUACAACGCCGAAG
Molecule: ribosomal RNA, 2921 nt
Filed under: Escherichia coli
Lineage: Bacteria; Pseudomonadati; Pseudomonadota; Gammaproteobacteria; Enterobacterales; Enterobacteriaceae
Description: bacterial LSU rRNA
Rfam family: Bacterial large subunit ribosomal RNA
Source: RNAcentral